GACUUGUUUGAAUCAAAGCCAAAAGCUUUUAAUCAGUGGGUGUUGGAAGAGACUACCUAAGACUCGUACAGUGGUGGAAGAUGAGUUUUGGAAUGGAAAAGGAAUGGAAUGGAACAUGAUUUCAUUAACUGAAGCUUACCAGAAUGCAGUUUUUUUUCUGAUUAGGAAGAAGAUGAAAGAAGCCAUCAGCAGGAGCACUAACUCAUUUAGA
This is a non-coding RNA of Pelodiscus sinensis (Chinese soft-shelled turtle), 211 nucleotides long. NCBI's taxonomy places the organism in Eukaryota, Metazoa, Chordata, Testudines, Trionychidae. The record is from RefSeq and is a predicted model, not a curated record.